ACACUGCUGAAGAGUCGCGCAGUGGGACGAAACGACCGUCCAGUGU
This is a non-coding RNA of Schistosoma curassoni, 46 nucleotides long. NCBI's taxonomy places the organism in Eukaryota, Metazoa, Platyhelminthes, Trematoda, Strigeidida, Schistosomatidae. The record is from Rfam.